RNAcentral lists this ribosomal RNA (671 nucleotides) under Leiobunum rubrum. RNAcentral's name for it is "partial 16S ribosomal RNA". Lineage: Eukaryota; Metazoa; Arthropoda; Arachnida; Opiliones; Sclerosomatidae. The record is from RNAcentral.
UUAGUUACUAUACAUCUUUGUUAGAGGUAUUAUUAAAAAAGAUAAUUUUAUUAGAUUGUUUUUGUAUUAAAUAUUUAUGAAUAAUUGAGUAAUGAGAGCUGUAAAGGUCAAAUUAAGACUAUUUAGAAGUAGAAAUUUUUGUACCUUUUGUAUCAGGGUUUACUAAAUUUUUUAAUUUAUUUUAUUUUCCCGAUGAAAAAUGAGCUAUAAAGUUUAAGUCUCUAUUGUGGCAUAAAUAGAAGGGAGUAUUUUAUAGUAGUGAGAUACUAUCGGAUUUUUUGGUAUCUGGUUCUAGUAGAAAUACUAUUAGAUAUACUAAGUUUAUUGAUUAUACUUGGAUAAAGGAUAUUAGGGUUAAGCUUAAUGUUUUAUUUCUAUAUUAUAUAGUAUUGAUUAGUUAUGGGUGGGUUAGUAGUGCCCUUAUGUUUUAUAACAUAAAUGGAUAGAUAAAAAUUAGUUAGGUAUGCUAGGGUAUGAAUUAAUUUAUAUUUAUCUCAAAAAUGGUAAAAUUAGUAGAAUUUGUAAAUUUUUGUAAAUGAGUUUAGAUGCUUAUAUUAAAAUUUUAAGAUUUUAAGAUACUAGAGGGGAAUUCGGCAAAAAAGCUCUUUAACUGUUUAUCAAAAACAUUUCUUUAAGGCCAGAAUUUAAAGUAAAUUCUGCCCCAUGAUAUA